Molecule: ribosomal RNA, 450 nt
Filed under: uncultured bacterium
Lineage: Bacteria
Description: bacterial SSU rRNA
Rfam family: Bacterial small subunit ribosomal RNA
Source: RNAcentral
CGGCGGACGGGUAAGUAACACGUGGGUAACCUGCCUCGAAGUGAGGAAUAGCCUCCCGAAAGGGAGAUUAAUACCUCAUAGUAUUAAUUUUUCGCAUGAAAGAUUAAUUAAAGAAUUUAUUCGCUUCGAGAUGGACCCGCGGCGCAUUAGUUAGUUGGUGAGGUAAUGGCUCACCAAGACAAUGAUGCGUAGCCGACCUGAGAGGGUGAUCGGCCACAUUGGAACUGAGACACGGUCCAAACUCCUACGGGAGGCAGCAGUGGGGAAUAUUGCACAAUGGGCGAAAGCCUGAUGCAGCAACGCCGCGUGAGUGAUGAAGGCUUUCGAGUCGUAAAGCUCUUUGAUCAGGGACGAUAAUGACGGUACCUGAAGAACAAGCCACGGCUAACUACGUGCCAGCAGCCGCGGUAAUACGUAGGUGGCAAGCGUUGUCCGGAAUUAUUGGGCGUA